Molecule: long non-coding RNA, 15626 nt
Filed under: Cricetulus griseus (Chinese hamster)
Lineage: Eukaryota; Metazoa; Chordata; Mammalia; Rodentia; Cricetidae
Description: lncRNA (ENSCGRG00015032756.1)
Source: RNAcentral
CUCCUCCUCCUCCUCCUCCUCCUCUUUGUUUUUUGUUUUUUGUUUUUCGAGACAGGGUUUCUCUGUGUAGCUUUGAAGCCUAUCCUGGCUCUCUGUAGACCAGAACAGCUGAGGAUACACAGAAAACCCUGUUUCAAGAAAUCAAAAAGGGCCAGGCAGUGGUGGUGCACACCUUUAAUACCAGCACUUGGAAGGCAGAGACAGUUGGAUCUCUGUGAGUUUGAGGCCAGCCUGGUCUACAGAGCGAAUUCCAGAACAGCCUCCAAAGGUGCAGAAAAACCCUGUCUCAGAAAAAAAAGAAAGGAAGAAAAAGAAGGAAAGAAAGGAAUCAAAAAGAAAAAACAAAACUAGGUUCAAGAUAUUGGUUCAAACAUUGAAUCUAUAUUAAAUUUUCUUUUUUUUACUGAGGCCUAACAUUCAGAAGGCCCUGGAUUCCAUCCCCACUACAAUGUACACCCAGUUUAAUGGCACAUGCUGUAAUGCCCAACGCCCAAAAGGUAUAUACAGGAGGAUAGGGAGUUCAAAGUCAUUCUCAGCUAUAUAGCAAGUUGGAGGCCAGCCUGGAAUACAUAAAACCCUGUCUAAAAAAGAAAAGAAGAGGAGAGGAGAGGAAAGGAAAGAAAAGGAAGAAAGGUUUUACUGUUGUUUUUCUUUUUUAUUGUUGUUUGUUUGUUUCCUGUUCUAAGUCUCCAAAUUCCUAGGCAUAUUUACAUGAGCAGCACAUUGAGUCUGAACCAGUCAUACUUAUUUCAUGUAUUUCAAGUACUUGGCAGUCUCCACAGCUGGUCACUAUAUUGGAUGGACUGCUGUGGUUUGAAUAAUUGUCCUUUCAAAAUCCUGAGGCAAUCCAGGAAUUGUGGUACGUACCUGUAACCCCAGCACUUUGGGAAGUAGAGGCAGGAGGAUCAGGAGUUCAAAGUCACCCUCAGCUACAUAGCUGAGACCCUGUCUCAAAAACAAAAAACAAAGCUGGUGUUGUUUGUCAUUUUAACACCGUUGAUGGAUGGUACCUUUAAGAGGCAAUGGGGGGAGCUGGAGUGAUGAUGGCUCAGUGAUUAAAACUGCCUGCGGGCUGGAGAUGGCUCAGAGGUUAAGAGCACCGACUGCUCUUCCAGAGGUCCUGAGUUCAAUUCCCAGAAACCACAUGGUGGCUCACAACCAUCCGUUAUGAGAUCUGCUGCCCUCUUCUGGUGUGCAGAUAUACAUGGAAGCAGAAUGUUGUAUACAUAAUAAAUAAAUAAAAUCUAAAAAAAAAAAAAAAAAAAAAAGAACACUGCCUGCUGGAGGACCUGAGUUUGCUUCCCAGCACCCACAAGGUGCUCGGAACAAUAGACCCCAGGCACACACAGAGGUAGGAGUGUCGUGUGUGUGUGUGUGUGUGUGUGUGUGUGUGUGUGUGUGUGUGUCACCAUGUCACCAAAAGACAGUGUGAAAUCACUGAGAAUGGGACGGGAGCCACAGAUGUUUCGAGCCACCAUGUAGGGGAUGAGAAUUAAGCCCAGGUUCUCUGCAAUAGCAAUAAAUACUGUAAAGCCUGGAACCAUCUCUCCAGUCCCAAUAAAAGAAAUAUUUUUAAAGGCAAUUAGAUCUUGCCAGGGAAUGAAUGUUGUUAUCACCAGGAUAGGUUCAUCAUCUAAGGCAUGAGUUCACCUAGACCUUCCUGAUAGGGCAGUGGUUCCUAAUGCUGUGACCCCUUAAUACAGCUCCUUAUGCUGUGGUGACCCCCCCCACCAUAAAGUUACUUUAUUACUGUAAUUUUGCUAUUGUUAUGUAAUAUGUCAUAAUGUAAAUAUCUGAUUGCAGGAUAUCUAAUAUGUGACCCCCAAAAAGGUCACAGCCCACAGCUUGAAAACUGCUGUUCUGGGGACUCUGAGAUUCCCCAGGCCUGUUAGGGGACCUUAGUAAAUAUUUGGCCAUGAAACAUCUUCCCAGAGUUGCUUUCAAAGUGAACCACACCCCAUAAUCCCCUUCUUCACUGCAGAGUUCAUCUAGCCGUCAGCCAAAGAGAUCGUUUUUAUUGAAAAGACUCAUGACGUAGUGAACAAAAGCUUAGGAAAUAAACCCUAAUCCCCAAAGGAACACUCACUACAGCUCUACUCACACUAAAAUACUCAAUUUAUAGCCUAUAUUGGAUCCUCUGUCUGUAAUUUAUUACCCUAAGUAUGGAGGAGUUUUUUUUAAUACAAACCAAUUUCGAUGUACUUUACUAUUUUCCUUGCCUCUGUUAAAGCAGAAAUAAUAUAUUUUGCAGAGAGAUUAGAAGACAAAUGCAAUGGGGAGUCACAGGGAUGCCUCCUCCUACCUCCUAGGUUCCUUCUGACACCAGCUGGGGACCCGUGAUUGUGUUGGGUGUCUUGGGCGUUUGGAUUGCUCAACGUUCCCAGGUGGCUCAGAUAUAAGCUGAGCACCACAGUUUUUAAAACAAAAGUGGGGCCAGUGAGAUGGUUCAGCAGAUAAUAAAGGCUUGCUCUUCGAGUCUAAAUGACCUGAGUUCCAUCCCCAGCAGCCGCAGUGGAAGAAAGAACUGACUCCCCAAAGCUGUCCUCUGACACCCAACACACUUGUGCUAUGGCAUGUACACGAACACACAAACACACACACAAUAGUAAUAAAUUAAAAUAAAAUAAUGGACUUCUAGGAAAAAAGGAAGGUGCUGGGGAUCCAACAGCAUCAUACAAAUUAGGCAACAACCUUGCCUUGUUAAGAAAUUGGUAAUAGCUGGGCAGCAGCAGUGGCACAAACCUUUAAGCACAGCGCUCCAGAGGCAGAGGUAGGCAGAUCUCUCUGAGUUCAAGUCCAGCCUGGUCUACAAAGGAAGUUCCAGGACAGACAAAAAAAAAAUAAGUUGUUUAUACUGGUUAGUUUUAUGUAAACUUGACAUAAGCAUAGUCAUGAAAGAGGAGGGAACUCUGAGAAAAUGCCUUUGUAAAAUCAGGCUGCGGGCAAGCCUGUAGGGCAUUUUCUUAAUCAGUGUGGGGGGGGGCAGCCCACUGUGGGUGGGGCCAUUCCUGGGCUGGUGGUCUGGCUUCAAUAAGAAAGCUGACUGAGCAAGUUAUGGGAAGCAAGCCAGUAAGCAGCUCCCCUCCAUGGCCUCUGUGUCAGCUCCUGCCUCCAGGUUCCUGCCCUGCUUGAGCUGCUGUCCUGACUUCUUCAAUGUUGAACAGUGAUGUGGAAGUAUAAGCCAAAUAAACCCUUUCCUCCCCAAGUUGCCCUUGGUCAUGGUGUCCAUCACAGCAGUAGAAACCCUGACUGUGAUGCUGCUGUUGUGAAAAAUAAGAAAGAACACAAGUAAAUGAAUGAAAUAAAAACUAGAGACUGCCCAGGGGCUUCACUGAGAAGGGGCAUCUGAACAAGGAACUAAGAAGUAGGGGGAGGGGGGUGCAGUUCACAGAUCUGAAGGAAGGGUAACUGUAAGGAAACCGUUUUGGGUGUUUUCUGUGUGUGUGUUAAUGGAUGUGAAAGACCCCCAGAGGCUCAGGCCCCCAGGAUCUCAGUCCAGGACUGCAAUGACCCCAAUCACCAGGCAGAGUCGAAAGCUUGAUGCAAACAGCACGAGGCUUUAUUGUAGUUGUUUAACGAGCUAACCCCAUGUUAGCUCGGGUCUUUCAUCCACCUGCCAUGGCGGACGGCUAGGAAAGACAGCUCGAAACGUCUGCAUAGAGAUCUUGUAGGGCAGUGUAAGGGGAGUGUCUAGGGGUACCCACAGGCUCAGGAUUGGUGUGCCUCCAGGCUUGGAGGGUUUACCCUGUGUUGAUUGGUCAACUGGCUGUUAUGGCCCAUAGGCCCUCCCAGGGUGGUUGCUAUGCUCUGUGCGUCAUUGCUGUUCACGUGUCCAUAAAGCACACCCUGAGUUGUAAAGCAUAGCACCACCAGCUAACUUCUGAUUGGUUCCUUGCCACAAGGCAGGCAUCUGACCUCCUAGUGACCAAGGCAAGGUCAGACAAGCACGUGUUCGGCUGUUAUGGCUGCCGAAAUGGGGAGCUGGCCCCUUCAAAUGCACAUAUGUGUGCAGUUGUGUACACAUGUGCAUGUGGGCGUGCAUACAUGUAUACAUUACGUGUGCAGGCAGGCCAGAGAUCUAACCACAUCAGGUGUUUUCUUCAGUCACUCAAAACCACCUAUUUGAGACAGGGUCUCCCACUGAACUCAGAGCUUAGCCACUCAGCUAGAUGGGCUAGCUAGGGAGCCCUUGGGACUCUCUGUCCCUGCUUCCACAAGCAGACAUGUUCCCCCAUGGCUCCUUUUUACAUGGAGAGGGAUCUGAACUCGGGUCUUCAGGCUUGCCCAGCAAACACUUUACCAAUGGGUCCACCUCACAGGCCUGGCCUGUGUUUUCAAAGGAUGCUUCUGGAUACUGCACUUGGAAUUGAGUCUCAGAACCACAAAAGAAGAAAGGUUGGGUAGAGACCUGAUGCCAUCAGCCUAGUAUGCUGGGGUGGACCAGGGUAGCUGUGGUAACUAAAGAUAUAGGAAGACAUGGUUGGGUUUUAAGCACAUUUUUCAAUUAAAACCAUGACAAUUGGCCUUAUGGUAGAUUUGUGUUGUGAAAGCAAGAUGGGCUCUGAGGAUGACUUCAAGGUCUUAGCCUGAGAUUAAAAAUAUCAAAAGGCUGGCACUGCUGUUUCCUGAGCAUGGAGGAUUAUGUUUGCAGAGGGAAGAUCAGAAGUUCAACUUUGACACGUCACAUUGGAAAUGCUCUACCAGUUAAUGCUACAUAAUAAAUUUCCCCAGCACAUAACAUAACAUUUUGUCUACGUUUCUAUUAGUCUAAGUGAGAAAAGCAGAGGCAGUUCUCCUGAGGGCCUUUCAGGAGGCAGUCUAGAGGUCACCUUAGGUUGCAGGAUCUGAAGGCUCAACUAGGGGGAGAGGACCAACUUCCAAAAUGGCACCUGUCCCACUCCCAAAAUGGCACCUGUCCCACUUUCAAAAUGGCACCUGUCCCACUCCCAAAAUGGCACCUGUCCCACUUUCAAAAUGGCACCUGUCCCACCCCCAAAAUGGCACCCCGCACUUCUGGCAGGGAAUUUCAAUUCCUUGCUGCCCCUGAGCCACCCAAAAGUCAAGGCAAUAUUCACACUAUCUCAAUACCUAGUCUCAGAAAUCAUAUUCCAUCAUUCCAGUCAGGACUGUACUGUGUCAGGUAUAAUCUAAUUAUCAACUCAACCCCCCUACACGAAAUGGGAAAUUUAGCUCCACUCUCUGAAGUCAUAACACAUGAUUUGCAAAUAUUUUUAAAAACCAUCUCAGUUGCUUAUCAGCUAUUCAAGUGAGAUUAUGAUUUGGUUGUGAGAAGGCCCCCACAGGCCCUCUCGUUAGAACACAGGUGGUAUUUUGAGAGACUGUGGAAUACUUAGGAGAUGGAGCCUCGCUGGAUAAAGUAGGUCACUGGAGACCCAACUCCAUGUUUAUGGCCCAGACCCAUUUCCUGUCCCAGCUCUGCUUCCUGGUGCAGACAAGUAUGGGAUAACCUUAUGCUCUGCCACCACAGCCAAAAGCCACCCUCCCCUGCCUUCCCACCAUGGCUAGCCGAAAUAAAGCCUUCCUUCCUAAGUUGCUUCUAUCUGGUAUUUCAUUACAAGCAGAAAAAAGGUAACCAAUGCAAGCAGAGACCGUGAGUGUGCAAGGCUGGGAAAGAUCUAGAAAGGAGGCCAUAAUAUUGGCGUUGCCAACUUGACAGAACCUAGAAUCACUGGGUAAAUGGUUCACCAGACAUGCCUGUGGGGAAUCACCUUGGUUGCUUUCAUUGAGGUGAGAAGCUCCACCCACAGUGGGAGGGGUCAAUCCCUGCCCGGGGAUCCUGGACAGUUUAACCCAGAGUGGUACCACCACUGGCACACACCUUUAAUUCCAACACUUGCGAAGCAAAGGCAGGCGGAUCUCUGUAAACCAAGUCCAGCCUGGUCUACAGAUCGGGUUCCAGGCUAGCUGGGUCUACACAGUGAGAUCCUGUCUCAAAAAAUAAACAAACAAACAAAUAAAUAAAUAAAUAACAAAAUGGGAGAGCACAAGCUGAGCCCCAGAAUUCUUCUCAGCCCCUUGGGUGUGAUUACGGGAGGCCCCGCUCCCUGCAGCACCUAUACAUGCCCUCCCACAGUGAUGGACUUUACGUUGCAACUGUGAGCAAAGACAAACUCUUCCUCACUCCACUUGUUUUGUAUUGUCCGAGUACUGUACCACGGAAAUAAGAAAAAGAGCCUAAAGCAGAGGAGAUGAAAUAUAAUUUUUCCUUUUCUUUUUUUCUCUUUUUUUUUGUUUUUUUUUGGGGGGGUUGUUUUGUUUUGUUUUUUUUGUUUUUGUUUUUCGAGACAGAGUUUCUCUGUGUAACCCUGGCUGUCCUGGAACUCACUUCAUAGACCAGGUUGGCCUUGAACUCACAGAGAUCUGCCUGCCUCUGCCUCUGCCUCAUGAGGGCUAGGAAUAAGGGUGUGCGUCAGCACACCUGACCUUUGUUUUUGUUUUGUUUUGUUUUAAAGAUAGAGUCUCACUCGGCAACCCUAACUAGCCGGGACUCUCAAUGGGACUGGGCUGGCUCUCACUUAUAACAAUCCUCCUGCUUCCCCCGCCUGAUUCUGUUGAGUAGAGACCAUUGUGUGUCAUCAUACUUGGUUCAGCAGUACAGUCUUAUUCUAGAGGAGCUAUGGACAUAAACUUUGGUUAAACAAGCUGUUUGACCUUGACCCUGGUCAUGAUAUCUGAACCUCAUAGAAUCUCACACUCCCUCCUUCUAAAAUGCAGGUGGCGAUACUAUUUAUUCUUAAUUGCCUAGAGCCUUGGUCCAUCUAGAAACUUGAGAGUGAGCAAACCUGUUCCUAAAGACACUACAAAGGAUGGGAGAGGAAGAAGGGGUUGAGCUAGACCGUUAAAGCAGAGUGAUAGUGGCCAGACCCUUUAAACUCAGUAUGUAGGGAGACACCAUAAUCACUCCUCCUAACGGCUGGCUACAAGUGUGCCCAACCACACCCACUAGGGUGUGGUCAAGGUGAUGUAGAAAAAAAUUUAAAGGGAUAGCUAAGGCACAUGGUAUCUCUCUUUUCUCUGCUGCUUCGACUGGAUCUAGUUUCCUGUUGGUUGGCCUUUACCUAUUAGAGAUAUCCUGACCUUAGGGGCUAUGUAUUAGUUAUUCACCGUAAUAUCAGUGUGCUGCUUAGUUUGUAAAACUGUACUCUCUGUGUUCUAAAAAUUGACCAGUUAAGACCUCAGGGCCUAGUUGGACACGUCACUCUUGACAAUCAUCUCAGCACUUGGAAAGCUAAAGCAGGAGGCUCAUCACAAGUGUAAAAGUCUAUAACCAGCCUGAGCUAGUAUGAGACCUUGGCACAUGAAAACUGCACUCAAAAAUGAACUUCAGUGGCUCUCUCUCUCUCUCUCUCUCUCUCUCUCUCUCUCUCUCUCUCUCUCUCUCUCUGUGUGUGUGUGAACUUGUGUAGUGUGCGAGUACACACAUGGUGGGUGUAGAGGCCAGAGGUCAACACCUUGUAUUCUCUUCAAUCACUCUCCACUGUUGUUUGAGAUGGGGUCUCUCACUGGCCCAGGAGCUCACUGAUUCAGACAGCCUGGAUAGCCACCCAGGAAUCCUCCUGUGUCCACCGCCCCUGUGCGAGGAUUACUGAUGCUUGCCAAGUACAGAGGUGAAGAGGACCUGAACUCGGGUCCCAGGGCCUGUGCUGCCAGCACUUCACCAACUGAGCCAGCUCCAGAAUCCUCUGAGCUGGUUUUGGAAUAGUUGGAAAGUGGUCUUUGGGGUCAACAGACAAAAAGAGGAAGUGAAAAGCAGAGCUCUACAAGAAGACACGUCUUAGUUCCUCGGCCUCAUUGAGAAACGCACAGUUAUCUCUGAGAUGUUUAAACCUGUGUAGGCUUAGAGGAUAGAGACAAAAGCUUUUGUUUUUUUCCAAACAGGUCUCACUGCACAUCUCUAGCCUUGAACUCAGCGAGACUCCUGCUUCUGCAUUGUAGGUGCUUAGAUUAAAGACAUUCUCCAGCACACCUGGCUUCAGGACAUUAUUUUUAUUAAAGGAGUGCUCCAGCUGCCAUCCUCGCUGUAUGGUAAUAUCAAAGUAUUUCCACCACCACAUCCAACAGAAACCAGGCAAUUUUCCCUGGUGAGCAUCUGUUUGCUUUUUAUAACUAAAUAAAUUACAUAUAUUUUAAAAUUUUUCAGAAAUUCUUUAUGAGCUUUAUUUAAUUUUUUGUGAAUGUUUUGCCUGCAUGUCUGUAGCACAAGAAUGCUUGGUGCCCUCAGAGAUCAGAAGAGGACAAGGGAUCCACUGGAACGACAAUUACAGGUGAUUGAUUGUUAGCUGCUAGGAAUCGAACCUGGGUCCUCUGCAAGAGCAACAGGUGCCCUUAACCACUGACCACCCACUCUCCAGCCCCCCACGUGUGUUUUUAAUUUUUCAUUGCACUUAUUUGGGGAGAGGGACUUGUACAUGUCACAGCAUGUGAGCGAAGGGCUGAGGAUGUCUUGCUAGAAUCCAUUCUCACUUUCUACCGUGUAGGUCCGGGGAGUGAACUCGAGUCACCAGAAACGAUGUUAAGCUCCUUAACUCAGGCCAUCCCACUGAUCCUACAUACAUUUACAUUUUUAAAAAAGACUCUGAUCUGAUCAUAUUUACCUCCUUUUCCCUGAGACAUGGGGACCACCUGCAUGCACACCUUUACAUCGCUACUGGGGUCUAAUAUGUGGCUUCCAUCAAGCUCAGUGCUCAGGCCAUCAUUUUGGAUUGGUCAUUCUGAAACUUACUUUUGUGAGUGGGGUGGCAGGAAGCAUUUGUAUGUCUGUCUUUGAGACAGCAGAAAAGCUUGAGUCAGGCACCCUGAGGUGGGGGAGGCAGCACUUGGAAAGUUAGAGAUGAGAAGAGAAAUGGAGGCCACGUGAGCAACAUAGAGCAUGCAAGACCAGUCUGGACUACAGAGAGAAGCUAUGAUUCCAUGUCUGAUGGCCCACACCUUUGGUCCCAGAACGUGAAGCAGAAACAGGUAGAUCUCUGUGAGUUCAAGGCCAGCCUGGUCUACAUAGCAAGUUCCAGGUCAGCCAGAGCCACACAGUGAGAUCCCUUUUCAAAAUAUACAGAUUCAUAAGUUCUGACCCUCAAAAUGAAGAGACCAGAUAGUCCAUAAUAGAUUCAUAUUAUCUAUAAUAUAGUAGUUUGUGAUUAAUAAUGGGUUGAGAUUUGAAGUCAUUAAGCUUUGGGGCAAAACUCGUUACUCGUGCUGUGGAGGCAGAGGGAUUAUAAAUUCAAGGCCAGCCUGGACAACUUGGUGAGACCCUGUCUUAAAAUAAAAAGCAAAAGCAGGGUUGGAGCUUCUGCUCAGUGGUAGAGCUCACUUGCCUAACAUGGGCAAGGAGGACCCUGGGUUCAAAUCCCAGCAUCACAGAAGGGAAAAUAAAUAGACUCUAAAAUAUGAGUAAUGCCAUUUGCAAACCAUACACUUAAAAUGGUUGAGAUGGUAAAUGUUACGUUCUUUACAUACUUUAACACACACACAGACACACACACAUCAGCAGAUCCUGUGGGACUGUGGGGCUACCACUGUGCGAUAGCUGCCCUUUCCGUGCCUGAGGCCUGGGCACCUGAGGUCAUUUAGGCCUCAUCAGCCAGCCACUCUCCUCUCUCCACUUUGUGUACAACUCCAUCCACAUGCCGGUGUCCCCAGCUCCCCACAAGGCCCCGGGUAUCCCGAAACCCUCCUUUUCAGGGUGCUACUUGCUUCCUCCAGCAUUAUAGCCCAAGAAGGGUUAUGGGGCAAAAUCAGGCUUGAGUCAGGGAGGAAGGACCACAGGGCCUCAGCCCCCAACCCCUCUCUAACUAUGAUGAUAGUUUGUUAUGAUAAAUCUUUCUGCCAAAUGCUGCUUGAGCCCCACCGCCACGUGCGAGCUUUACGCCAGCCGCCUGCCCGAGUUAGGCCCAAAUAAAUACACAGAAACCUGUAUUAGGUUCAAAGCUGCUUGGCCAAUGACUAGGAUUCUCAUCUGCUGACUCAGUCUUAAUUAUCAUAAAUCUAUAUAUUUUAUAAGACUUAUCUUAUCGGACACCUUAUUGGCGUCCCUCCUUGCUGGUGGAUCACUGGAGCAGGAGCGGAGGGGAAAAAGGGACCCUUCCUGUUUCUCCUUAGCUUAAAUAUGAGUCUCCUUUCUAUGUCACUUCCUGCCUGGAUCAGACUUCUCUACUACAUUUCCCAGAAUCCUCUUUGACUCCUAGUCCCGUCUACUUGCUGUCUCAUUGGCCAAACAGUAUUUUAUUUAACAAUCAAUAAGAUAAACAUACACAGUACAUUCCCCAUCAACGGUUGUGCUGGUGGUUAGCCAGCUCUGGACCAGCAUUAAAUGGGCAUUUAUCAAACCCUAAACUCUUUCUUCAACAGAAAACCGUGACCCUGGUCCUGUACCCUGGCAAGCAGGAGCCACUCAAGUCACCCACUGUCAGUAGGGAGGCCAGGGUUCCUGAACUGCUGAGGCUUGCUGACAGCAGAAAGCAAGGGCUGCAUCACUAUGCAGAGACAGGCCUGUCACUGGUGUGUGUGUGUGUGUAUGUGUGUGUCUGUGAUGUGUAUGCCUGUGUUAAAGAAGCUGAGAAUGCAGAUAAACUGAGGACCUGGUGUGCAGCCCACACACACAGCCCGUAGCAGAGUCCCAGGAUACUUAAGGUCUUGGGUGGGGGGGACAUUAAAUGCCUGUGUCCUUUUUUUUUUUUUUUUUAAUGAGACAAGGUCUCAGCAUAUAGCCAUGCUAACCUAGAACUCACUAUGUUGGCCAGACCGGCCUCAAACUCACAGAGAUCCACCUGCCUCUGCACUGCCCUCUUGGUACGGGAAUUAAAGGCCUAUGCCAUCAUGCCUGGCUUCCUUAAGGCUUUAGAGGGCCUCUGUAUGUUUUUCUAUGGCUGUGGAUAAAAGGUGACCAUAACGGGCAAGAAAGUGACAGCUCAGAGCACCCCCUGCUCUUCCAGAGGACCUAGAUUUGGUUGCCAGCACCCACUUACAAGCCUCUGAACCUCCAGUUCCAGGGGAUCCAACACCGUCUCUUGGCCUGCCUCCACAGACACUGCAUACCUGUGGUGUGCACACACAUAUAUUUAGGCCAAACACUCAUAUGUAUAAAAUUAAACUGAAUCCUUUUUUAAAGAAUUUAUUCUCCUACAGCUUUUGGAAGUUUGAGGUCCCAAAGCAAGGCAUGGGCAGGGCUGCACUCUUCUGGCUUUUGGCUCUUCCCAGUGUUCCUUGGCUUGUCUUCCUGUGACUCCUCUCUCUUGUGCAUCUCUUAGGACUUACACUAACCCAGAUGGCAUCCUCUCAGAGGCUAUCUGUAUCUGUAUGACACCUGCAGGCUUACUUUCCAAAUCUGCUCACAUUGGGGGUUCUUAGGCACAUCUAGUCAAGAGGACAUAAGCCAGCCCACUAUGCGCUAUAACCAGCUACUAAGGGAUAUUCGAUCACACUGUGAACCCCUAGUUAGCAUUUUCAUUAAUUAAAUAAAGUUAACCUUGAGUCUGAAAGCUGAGUUUGACUAAUUGACAGGAAGUUAUAAAGCAUCAGAGGACAUCUGGGAGAGACAGAGAGAUGCACCGGAAGGAGAAGGGAGGGAUUUCAGCGGUGCAGCUUCUUUUUGUUUUGGCAGACCAGAAGAAACAUACUGUUUGGGAGACACUAGGAAGAAGAGAAGGUUAGUUGCUUGCUACUCAACCUCUCUGAGCUAGCCUCAGAAUCUCAAGUCUUGUUUAUAAACAGAACAACAGAGAUUUAGUUAAAGCAAUCAUUAGUGGGCUGGGCAUUGGUGGCGCACACCUUUAAUCCCAGCACUCGGGAGGCAGAGGCAGGCGGAUCUCUGUGAGUUCGAGGCCAGCCUGGUCUACAGAGCGAGUGCCAGGAUAGGCUCCAAAGCUACACAGAGAAACUCUGUCUCAAAAAAUAAAAAAAAAAGCUAUCAUUAGUGGCAAUGGCAGAGUCAGUGCCUGUAGGAACAGAAUUCCCACCAGGCUAUAGCCAGACUGCUGCCAGAGAAGCAGGCUGGUAACUGUGGAGCAGCAAUUUCUGGCUGAAAUAGCAGUAGAUUAAGGCACAGCCACUGUGCCAAAGAUAAAACAUUUGGUGCUUUCUGCAUGGCAUGACCACAUGGACAGAGAAGUCAUGCCAGCAGCUCUCCCAUGGAUGCUGGAACUUUAGAAAGCAGGUUCAUGCUUAGAAACUGCAAGAGGGCCUUGAGUUCACCACCAACACCACAGAAAAACUGUGAAGUCAGCAGACUUGGUGAGAUAUCUGGGAAGUCCUUUAGGAGAGAGUGGAAUAAUAUCAAAAAGAAAAAUCCUUCCCACCUAAAGGAUGGGGAACAUUACAAUACAGGGUGCUAGGACCCUGUAUAGUGCUACUAUGGAUGGUUUGAGAAGGAAAAUUUAAAUGAAGAGAUAAAUGACAUAGCUGGGAUUGGCAUAAUAUAGAUUGUAAUUACUAUCAGUUUGGUAAUUAAUAUUUUACCCUUAAAAAAACGUAGUUUGAUAACUGUGCCAAUUAUGAUAAUAUGACUGAAAAGAUACACAACAUAGAAAGACUUACUGUUGAUAAGAUACAAGCUUUAGAAAGACUUAUCAAUGAAAAUAAGAAAAGUUUUAUUGAUAAGAUACUAGUCUUAGAAAGACUUACUAACAAAGAUAAAAAUUUGGCUGAUAAUAUACAAGUCUUAGAAGGACUUACUAUUGAUAGGAAAAAAUAUUUACAAAGACAUACUAAUGAAAAUAAGAAAAAUGCUCUGACAUAGACAGAGGAAUUUAGAGCAGAACCUCCCACACCAUUGCAUGAUGAAACUGAAGAGGAGCUGCCCAAGGUUAUUAGAAAACCAACCUCCAUUUAUCCAAUUACCACACAAAAAAGACCACCAGAUGAUAGGUACCUCCAAGGCUAUGUAGAAGUUAACUGGGAUCCUGUAGAAACAUUAGAUUUGGAGAUUUAAGGAAGAAGUCAUUUCAUAUGGCAUGCAUUCACCCUUUAUGAAGCAGAUGUUAAAUUCAUGGACAACUAGGGAAAGAAUUAUUCCACAAGACUGGAGAGAUUUAGCUACAGCAAUAUUGGAAGCUUUUUUCAGCUACAAUGGGAAAAAAAUGAAGGAGAGUGGAAGCUAGAGUCAUAAAACAACAAAGUAGAGGUAGAGGUAUGAAAUGUUCCAAGAUCAGCUUCUCAGUAAAGGCCACUAGGCUGAUUCACAAAGACAGUCUGCAUUUGAUGAUCACACCUUGGCUCUAUGUCAUGCAGCAGCUUUGAAUGCCUGAGACAGGGUUGAAGAAUCAGGAAAGAGGACUGAGUCAUUUACUAAAAUUAUACAAGACCCAAAAGAAGCUUUCACUGAUUUUUCACAAAGAUCAACUUCAGCUAUAAAUAGAAUGAUAUCAGAUCCAGAAGUUAGACAAAUAUUAAUUGGAUCUUUGGCUUUUUAAGGUACUAAUUCAGAAUGCAAAAGGUGAUUAGGUCUUUAAAGACAAGAUCAGCACCCAUAGUUGAAAGGAUCUGAAAUACAGCUGACAUUGGAUCUCACAUUUAUGAUAAUACUUGGAUAGGAGAAGUCAUUUCUAAAAAUUUUAAGAAAAUCAAAAGUUCAGAUGUUUUUUAAUUGUGGUAAAUAAGGUCAUCUGAAAAGAGAUUUUAGGAAAUGUGUACCUAGAACCAAGUUUUCUUUUAGAGAUAAUUCAAACUGCUAUAAAUGAUCAAAGACCAAAGCUAAAAAUACAAAUAAAUCACAUUGAAAUUGAGGGCUUGGUAGAAACGGGUGCAGAUGUAACAAUACCUGCACCACAAUCUUGGCAUCCAUCCAGAUUGGCCUCUUCAGGCAGUAAAUGUUCAGCUUGUAGAGAUUGGAAUUUUAUCCCAGGUAAAAACAGAGUGCAAGAUGGGUGGAGUGCAUAGGGCCAGAAGGACAGACAGGAAAAUUAUAACCACAUGUGGCUAACAUAGCAAUGAAUUUAUAGGGACAUGAUUUGUUGCAGCAAUGGAAAACACAGAUUAACAAUCCUCCAAUCUCAGAAACAAACCAUAAUCUAAUGUAUGCUUCUGAGAAAAAUAUUAAAAGGUAUUAUCAAACCAGGGCAUUGGUGGUGCAUGCCUUUAAUCCCAGCACUUGAGAGGCAGAGACAGGCGAAUCUCUGUGAGUUCAAGCCAGCCUGGUCUACAGAGUGAGUUCUAGGACAGCCUGCAAAGCAAUACAGAGAAACCCUGUCUCAAAAAAAAACAGAAAGAAAAAGGAAAAUAAAAAGGUAUUAUCAAGAACAAUCACUGACUGUUCAGGUUACACACAACUAAGGCAUAACAGCUGAUUCUUCAAAAGUACCAACAGCCCUACUUUCGAAAUGGUUAAUUGACAAACCAGUGUGAGUAGAACAAUGGCCUUUGACAUCAGAAAAAUUACAGGCCUUAGAAAGCUGGUACAAGAGGAGCUAAAUGCUUAAAAUAUUGAAGAAUUGGGGCUGGAGAGAUGGCUCAGAGGUUAAGAACACUGGCUGCUCUUCCAGAGAGUCCUGAGUUCAAUUCCCAGCAACCACAUGGUGGCUCACAACCAUCCAUUAUGAGAUCUGGUGCCCUCUUCUGGUGUGCAGAUAUACAUGGAAGCAGAAUGUUGUAUACAUAAUAAAUAAAAAUCUUUAAAAAAAAUAUUGAAGAAUCAACCAAUCCUUGGAAUUCUCCUAUAUUUGUUAUUAAAAAGAAAUUUGGAAAAUGGAUAAUGUCAACAGAUUUAAGAGCCACAAAUAAGGUGAGUCAUCCAAUGGGCUCUUCACAGCAAAUAACUUAGUUUCAAAAUGCCUCAGGCACUUCCCAGCUGUGCAACUUAACAUGGUUUACUUAACCUCUUUGUGUGCCAUCUCAUCUAAAAACCUAGGGAUAGGGAAUAGGUGUGCUGCUCAGUUGGUUAAACACUUACUUACUUAGGAUGUAUAAAGGCCUGGCUUCCAUCUCUGGCCUCUGCAUUACACUGGAUGUGGUAGCCAGUGUUUGUAACCCUGCCCCUCAGUAGGUAGAGGAAGCAGAACUGGGAGUUUGAGGCUAGGCUACAGCACUGUCUCAAGUAGCAAUAAACAACAAAUUUGCUCUGGUAAUAAAUAUCCCAAGCUACUGAACAAAAUAUUUAAAAUCUGAGGAGAGAGGAUGGAAAACAGCUCACAGGGUCAAGGUGCUUGCUGCCAAGGCUGACAACUGGAGUUCAAUCCCCAAGACCCACAUAGGAGGAAAGAAUCGACCCCCAAAAGUUGUCAUCUGACCUUCACACAUAUGGACAGGCACACACACACAAUAAAUAAUAUAAAUUUUUAAGUGCAAAAACAACAAAACUUCAAGGGGGAAAACAAAACAAAACAACAGCUGUGACAAUAAAUCUUCUGACACCAUUUUGUAAUGAAAAGUUUUUACACCAAGCUGCCUGAGCCACGCCACAUGUGGGCAGCGAAAAUAACACACAGAGACUUAUAGUAGGUACAAUGCUGCUGGCCAAUGACUAGGAUUUCUUAUCUUCUAUCUCUGUCUUAAGUAUCAACCAUAAUUAUUAAUCUAUAUAUUUUAUAAGACUUAUCUGAUCAAGGAUGCUGGCAUCCUCUCUUGUUGGGCUCAUGGCGGCUCCAGAGAAGAGAGAAGGAGGAAGAGGAAGAGAGCAA